UUGAAAGAUUCUAUGGGCUAUUUCUGGGGACCACUGCAAGGCAUGGGGCACCCCAUCUCUCCCCCUUUCUUUUUGUCUGGGAGGAAAGAGCCAGCAGCCUGACUCACCCCUUUUCUCUGCAAACAUGAAUUAGCCACGAAUGUUCGAGAAUUAUUCCUGAAUAAUUCAUGAACCUGAAUUAAUCAUGCAUUUCUCCCCCAUGAAUUAUUCAUGAAUUAUUCAUGGAAAUGCAAGGUUUAUUCAUGCUCUUGGAAAAGGGAGGAGAACUGGGGGAUAGGGGGAGAAGGGCCCCUUCUCAAGAUUUUUUUCGUUCUUUCUUUCCUGCCCCCCCCCCUUUUUGAUAAAAAUCCUUGCUUGUAUUUAUUUUUCUGUUGUCCCCUUCUGUAAAGGCGUGAUGUUGACACAGGCUUCUCAGAAAAUGAAAGCCAUAAAGGAUCUGUGAUGAUGAAGAACGACAGCAAAAGAAACACAAGACAAUCUCCUCUUCUGCAACCAGCAGCUGAAUACUGAAUAGCCAGAAGACAUUUUGUAAGAAGACUCCAAAGUGAAACAGGCAAGAACUAUCAUCCCACCUGCCAAUGGCUGCCAAACUUUAUGUUCUUGUCAGCUGGCCAGAUGGGAGCCGUGUCAUCAACAUUGAAAACAUCAAGGAGCCACGAAAGUCCUUCCACUUGUACAGAGUUGGUGAGCAGGUUUUGGCCCGAUGUCCAGGCUUCAGUGGUUUGUACUGGGGGAUUGUCGAAGGGAUCAGUGAGAAUAAAUAUGUUCUGGAGCGAAAGCUACAAGAAGAUAAAGAACUCCUAGAGAUGUUGGAAGAGCAACCAAACGUAGCAAAUUGGGGACCCACCCAACCCAAAAAGUCAAGGAAAUUCUUUCCCAAAUGGAAUCCGGGAUCUGGUUUGAGGAAAUGUAGCAAGGAUAAAUCCUUCAGGAUGGUGGAGGAAGCUGCAAAAGCUCAUUUCCAACAAGAACCUCCUCCAUCUUCUGGUCUACACGAGGGAUACAGCCAUAGUGCCAUGAUGAAGAGCUAUUCCUCUGAGUCAGUGAUUUCCCAGUCUCCGGGUCCUUUUCAGACAUCACCUUCUUUCCUAUCUUUAUCUGCCAGUGGAAUAUCUCAAAGAAGUGAAACAAGAGUGAACCGAGGAACCCGAGAUUACUCGACCAUAAUAACAAGGAGAAAAAUGGAUGAUCCUGUAGAACAAUGUCAGAAGCGGAUCUGUAUAAACAGCUUUGAUGAGUCAAAGGGCACCAAUUCCCUGGAAAUUGAUGGUUUGGAGCUUGUUCGGAAAGCUAUUGAAAAGGAAAGAGAGGAGAAGAUUGAACAAUUGGAGCGAAUGGUCUUGGGUCUCCAGCGAGAAGUCCUCUCCUUGAAGCAGAAGGUGCAGCACCUUGAAGGUGCCUCUUUUCAGGAGCAGAAACCUCCAUGCCAACCGUGUGAGGUCUCUGAACUAUUCAAUGGAUACACAAGGGACCAACUCAAAGAGGCCAUCCGGUUUGACCAAAAAAUCAGCACCGCUUGCAAAACUCUCCUCUACAAGCUCUUCACAUCAGAUUACAUCCAAAGUCAUUCCAUCACCGGGAGGAGAGGCAAUACAUUCCGGGAAGCUAAGCCCAUGAUGGAUGAGAGGUGCAUCAAAAUAAUCCGAGUGUUGCUGAAGCAGAAGUUUGGGGACCAUCUGAGUGAUACAGUGAUCACUGAGAAGAUCCAAAAUGUGCAGAAAGCAUUGAGGCAGAAAUUUAAGACUGAAUGUCUCUGAUUCUCCAGUAACCAGGCAUAUCCCACCUGCAUACAAGGAUAAAGCUUUAAAAUAUAAUUACUUUGGAUUUUCUAUUGAGUUGAUAUCAUCCUAAAUAUUUCCUAUCAUCCACUCUUUCACAUAUGGAAGUAUGGCACUAUGAUUCCACUUUAAACUCCAUGUCAACAUCCUAUAGAUUCAUGAAAUUUGCAUUUAGAAGAUGAAUAUUGAGAACUCUCUCCCACAAUGUUCCAAUGUCUUCUAUACUACAAAUCCAAGAAUCCCAUAGAAUGUUGCCAUGGCAGUUAAAGUAGAAUCAUAGAACUAUAAUUCAGUAUAAAAAAUAGAAAGUUAUUCCACAUGUGAACCUCCUUUUAAAAUAUUGUUUGUGAAUAGCUGAUGCACUGUAAGUGAGAAUACAAGUUUCUUGCUACCCUGUGGAGCUCUAGUCUUUGCUUCUUCUGGCAAGGGCUAGGUAGUAAGUGACGCAGAGAGUUGCUGCUAGUCAAAGUUGAAAGCAUUGAAGAAAACAAACUAAUUGUCUCAAUGAGUAAUAUGAAGCUUUAUAUUUUAGCAGUACACUUAAAAGCAGCAUAUUCCUGCACAUUUUAUUUUAUGGCAUGGGAAGUUAUAUAUCACAGAUCCAAGAAUUUGGGAAGUUGUUCUCCAGAUGAAUGUUUCCAAACUUUGUUUUUUCACUGUGUGGAAUCCUAUUGGUGAUUUAUGUCUUCAUAAAUGUCCUUGUGACUUUGGAAAUUAGAAUUGGACAAUUUCAUAAUAUUUAUAUCUAGUAAGGGAAAAUGGUUGUUUUUCUACAUAAGGGAGUCAGCAAAUACAGCAAAUAUGCAUUGGGAAUGAUGCUCAAUUAAUGUGCAUUUGUCCAUUGUACAUCAGGACACAAAAUAGACAGUACCAAUGAACAUCAGGAGAAACGCUUGCUGUGGUCCUCUUCCACAUCUUUGCAGUUCAGUAGCAGGGAUUUCUAGCAGCUUGGCCAUGUAGCUACAGAUGGAUAAAAUUAUGUAAUAUAGACUAUGAUUGUCAUGGCUAAUGCCAGCAUGAGGAGAUGGAGGAAGGAUGACUUCUCCCGGUCUUCUAGUUGGGCUCAAAUACAGAGCAAGAGCAGGUGCAGCCAGACAGACACUGAAGAGGCCACCACUUCUGAACAGGAACAACAGCCACACCAAGUGGACAAUGAAAAACUUACCACUCCUUUGGGCUCACAGCAAGGGCAGGAUUGGGACCUUAAACUAGGAGACCAGGGGUUAAAUAUUCCAGACUGGCUACAAUUAAGGACAGAUGGGAUUCAAGUGUAGAGAUCUAGUCAUUUGGCUGAAAAGAGGGCCAGCAGGUGGGAGAACUUGAGAAAUCUGUAUACAUAGCUGAAGUCUGGAAUAGUUGCUGGUGGCAACGUUGGUUUUUGAGCUGCAGCCUUGAUAAUUGUGCUUUGUGCCUUGAACCUUUGAAAGACAGGCUAUACCUUGGAUUGUGGAUUAUUCCUGGAAAUUGUGUUGAUGAAAUAACUUGGCUUUGGAAUAUCGGAAUGGACUUAUGGCUUACUCUCUUGUCUCAUCCUUUCUUGACCGAUUGAUUACUGUGUUGACCUCAGACUUCCCCUGGACUAAGCUUGUGUGCUCAGCUGCUUUACAGAGACAAGCAGGGCAGGACUCUGAUAAUGACAGAGGAUUCUGCUCUAUGUUAAUUGGUAUAACCUGUUGCCAUUAUGUUCUUCUACAUAUACAUCAUUUUGAGCUAUGUCACACUCUCUUUUUCUGUUAAAAUAGUUCAUAUAUUAUUUACAUUAGGCAUAGCUCUGCGUUUACAUAGAAAACAAGAGAGUCCGAGUGGAAGGAAAAUGAGGUUGUGGGCUCUCUCUGGGAGUGCAUCCUUAUUUCUUCUCCCUCUGAGAUGAGACAAAUGUGUCUUUCCAUUUAAAUCCUCAGUCCCCACCAGUAAGCAGUAUCAAGCCUCCCAGGACUUGAAACCUACAAGAUAUGUGUCCAGGUGGAGUGUUAUGUUCAUUAAGCCUGAUGUAGGCUCUUGACUCAGUUGAUCAGGACUCAAUCAACUAUUACUUGGUGAGCUUUGACUCAAGCAACAAGAAGGGAGCAAGAAGAUUCUAUCUCCCAACCAGAUGGUGGUAAACCUCAGCAAAUACUACAAUUUUUUUCUUUAUUUAAUGAUGUCCUUCAUUUUGCCUAAUGGAUCUCAAGUACAAUUUACUCUUCUCCACAAAGGGUUAGAGAACCCUUCAGAAAGAACACUUCAUGGCAGCAGAAGUGUACACCAUGACAUUUAAAUCUGGAUGAGUGGUACAUAUUUUUGCCUGGCUUAAUAAAUGUGUGGCUGUUUUGUGGAUUUUUGAUGUUAUUAUAUCUUAUUGUCUGCACAAUAUGACUACCCCUGGUUGUGUAUUUUACAAUAAGUAUGCUUUUAUACAGCUGCGUAAGACUAUUUAGAGAUGUGAAGGACUUAUUGAAAAGCUCAUACUAUGUAAGAGGGAAGACGUAGCUAAACUCAAUGUCCCUCAUUGAAUCUGAAUGAUUAGAGAUUCAGAACAGGCAAGGCAUUCUUCUACACAGAGUGCAUAGUUAAACUGAGGAAUUUGGAGUGAUGGAUGCCAGCAAGAUGAGGUGACAGAUGCCAACACAGAUUACUUUAAAAGGACAUCGGGUGAACUUUUAGAGAAUUGAGCUACCACAACUACAUUGCAUGGUGUGUGUGUGUGUGUGUGUGGUAAAAUGGUUUGACUGUUAGCAUAAGACACUUGGAAGCAAGAGUUUAAAUCUCCGUACAGGCGUGGAAACCCAUUGGGUGACUUUGGGAAAGUCACGUUCUUUCAGCCUCACAGAACAUGAAAUACAAACUCUAUUUGAAUGAAUAAUAAUAUAAUAAUAACUUUUUAUAUAUAUCCCGCCUCCAUCUCCCCACAGGGACUCGGAGCAGCUAACAUGGGACCAAGCCCAGGUAUCCACAAUAAAAAUAGAAUAAAAUACAUACAGAACAAAACAAGCAUCAUCAUCAAAAAAAGCAAGUUAAACAGAGUAAAACGCCAUAUUAAAUAGCAAUGUAGUAAUUAAAUAAAACACUUUGUAAGAGUGAAAACCACAAUUAAUAUAGGAGGACUGGGCAAAAAUGCGAGGAGUGCAUAAUUGACCUUUGUUCCAAUGACAGCAUCUAAGUCAGCUCUUAUGUGAGAGAUUUUUUUCUGCAAAAUGGUUGUAAAAAGCAUCACAGUGAGUUACUGAAGGUUCUAGCAAAGGAUUUGGAUGGAGGGCACCUGGGUUAAACCUCUCACCACUCUGAACAGCUCAGCUGGAUGUGAAUCUGCAGACACAAUGCUUGCAGAGAGGAAAACUUUAUUCGCUGCAAGUAUUGCCACCUUAUAAGAGCAAAGGUGCCCUCUAUACUAUGUAUUGUUGCAUAAAAGUCAAGUUUUCCACCAUCUGUGCUCUAGUUGUCGUCCUACCCAUUUCAUUUCUGGGCUGUGGCGCAGCUGGUUAGUAGCUAGCUGCAAUAAAUCACUACUGACCAAGAGGUCAUGAGUUCAAAGCCCAGGUUGGAUUGAUUGCCCGACCAUUAAAUAGCCAUUAAAUAGCACCAGCUCGUUGUUUACCUAAGCAACCUGAAAGACAGUUGCAUCUGUCAAAUAGGAAAUUUAGGGACCGCUUAUGCGGAGAGGCUGAUUUAACUAAUUUACGUCACUAUAAAAAAGUCCAGCAGUAUGCGUGCCGUAAGAUGAAGAAGUACUCCAUCAUGGACUUGGCAUCACAGUGGAUGAUGAAGCAGCAGCUCCCCCUGUGGCCGGAAUUGAGCAUACCCUCAUAAAGCCAGAAGUUGGGAAUAUUAAAUAGCCUCUGUGUCUCUGUCUCUGUGUGUCAUAUGUCUGAUGGUGUUGAAUGUUUGCCAUGUAUAUGUACAUUGUGAUCCGCCCUGAGUCCCCUUUGGGGUGAGAAAGGUGGAAUAUAAAUACUGUAAAUAAAUACAUAAAUUUCCAUGAGGGAGCCUAUUUUGUCACUAGUCGGAGAGGACAUUUCAGAGUGAUCAUAGCCCUGGUUAGAUUUUGGUUCCACUUUUAAGAAGGUGAAUAGUAGCCGAUGAAAAAUUGUGCAACUUCAUUUUUCAUCUUUCAGGAUUGUACAUCUCAGAGUUAAUGGUACAUACUUUGACUACCAAGCAUUUAAUCAAUUUUUCACUGGUAGAAACUGAUCUCUCUUCAGAUUUUCUCUUUGUGGCUGUAGAUAACAGAUGUGCUCAUCAGAACCUUCUAAUUCUCUGUCUAGCAAUGUUUGUAUUUUGAUUGAAGAUAUGGUAAUUAAUCACAGCUGUUUCUUUCUUUGCAAUGUCACUUUAGUU
Long non-coding RNA from Anolis carolinensis (green anole), 6092 nucleotides. Lineage: Eukaryota; Metazoa; Chordata; Lepidosauria; Squamata; Anolidae. The record is from Ensembl.